RNAcentral lists this long non-coding RNA (1619 nucleotides) under Olea europaea subsp. europaea. Lineage: Eukaryota; Viridiplantae; Streptophyta; Magnoliopsida; Lamiales; Oleaceae. The record is from RNAcentral.
AUUCUAUAUAUUCUUUUGUGAACAAGAAGUAAUAACAAUAAGUAAAAGGAACAUCUACUUUUGCUUUGGACGAGGUUACUAACAUCAUUUGCCUGAUUCGUGGAUUACGACAAAAUUUAUCAAAAAGCCGGUUUUUCGCAGCAAUUUCUUCGAGCAGUAAAACGUUAAAAAUAUCAUUUUUUCAGUAAAUCAUGUAAAGAAAAUAGGCAACCACAGUAAAAGGUGAUGAAAGUCUACGAGUUUACAUGUUCCCUUCAUCAAUCAAGAGGCCCCAUUUUUCGCUUCUUCUAAUGGAACACAAUGGCUCAAAGCAACAGCCUCAAGAUGUGGCGGCCUUGUUGAGCCCAAACAUAGCACAGGCCAAGCUGGAACAGGUGAAGGAUGAUAGUAAAAAGAGGCAAUUAGCCCCCAAAAGAAGCUCUAACAAAGAUAGGCAUAAGAAAGUUGAAGGGAGAGGUAGAAGAAUUAGGAUACCAGCUUUAUCUGCAGCUAGAAUUUUUCAGUUGACAAAAGAGUUGGGUCAUAAAACUGACGGAGAGACAAUUCAGUGGCUUUUACAGCAGGCCGAGGGAUCAAUUAUUGCUGCAACAGGUACCGGGACAAUCCCGGCAUCAACUAUUACAGCUGCAGGGAGCUCUGUUUCAGAACAGGGGAGCUCUGUCUCGUCCGGUGUCUAUGCAAAAUUCAAUGAGAUCGGGGCACGAAUCGGAAUGAGGAAUCAUUUGGCCAUGAUCGGUGAAGAUUUUGGUAGAUCCCAUAUUCCAUCCGGGGUGUGGCCUUCUUUCGGUGGUUUCGGAUCUGAAAUUCUGCAGAAUUCUAAUGUUUUAAGCUCGAACCGUAUGCCUAAACUCGGUUAUCAUGGGUUAGAAUUCCCCAAUUCAUUGGAUAUCAGUAACCAUGUGCCAGGUCUAGAGCUUGGUCUUUCUCAGGAGGGUCAUAUUGGAGGUCUGAAUCUUCAAGCUUUGAACCAGCUUUACCAGCAAAUUGGACAGAAUGGAGAUCCCACUAAGGAUAAUUCUCAAGGAUCAAGGCAGUAGAGUCUCACUAUUAUCAGGACUAUAUGUAAGGUAGCAUCUUUUAAGGUUUGUUUUUGAAAGUAUCAAUGUUCUGAAUUAUAUCGUUCUUGUGAAUCCAAUUCACGCCAAAUGGAUUAGAAUUGGCUGCAAGAACCGUUGGUGGUUUUUGCUGCGUAGCUAAAUCAAAUGUCCACAAGGAGGUACGAUAUUUUUUUUACUCGAAUUAGAUCUACAAUUCUGGGAUUUUCUCAGUUUUUGUUAACACCCUUUUUUGGUUGUCACUUGCAGUUUGGACUACACGUUUAGCAGCAAGGUGCGAUGAGUUUGGUUGUCAACACCUUUUUCGUUUCUGGUUUUUCUUAAACAAUUUUGAUGAAUGCUGGCCAAACAUAUUGGCUUUGUACUUAAAUACAAUGAGUUUUAGUUGUUUGCUUGUAUGUUGAAACUAGGAAGUUUCUCAAGCAUACUUUGUAACAGUUUCUGAUACCUAUGAAUAUAUAUGUCAGUUGGGAUACCCGACUUUCUUUCGCAAUACUCUCAGGCUUAAGUUUCACAUUCAUUCGUGUAAAGCAUAUGUCCUGUCUCCCGGUCUGGUCUUCUCUU